UUUUAAAGACAAUGACUCAGGGUGGUAGAAAGAGCUGGGGAUCUGCUGCAGGUGAGCUGUGGGGUGGCGGGGUCCACUCCAGUCUGCGUGAGUGUGGGGCCCCAGGGUGUGGGCGUGGAGGUAGAUGUAAGUGUGGAUGUAAGUGUGGGUGUAAGUGUGGGUGGGUGUAAGUGCGGGCGUGGAGGUAGAUGUAAGCGUGAGUGUAAGUGUGGGUGUGGAGGUAGAUGUAAGUGUGGGUGUAAGUGUGGGUGUGGAGGUAGAUGUAAGCGUGGGUGUAAGUGUGGGUGGGUGUAAGUGUGGGCGUGGAGGUAGAUGUAAGUGUGGGUGGGUGUAAGUGUGGGCGUGGAGGUAGAUGUAAGCGUGGGUGUAAGUGUGGGCGUGGAGGUAGAUGUAAGUGUGGGUUUGGUCAUGGGUGUGGUGUGGGCGUUGGUGCGCGCGUGGGUGCAUGCGCCAGUGUGAAUACAAUGGCACACAGUCUCACUCAGCCUCUCCGAAGACCCUCUGACUCCCAGCAGCAGGGUUUGUGCCGGUUUUGCUUGCUUUUCAGAGUAACUAUGGAAAAGAAAGCAUGAUGUCCUCUGGAGUUCUACAGAACAGAGCCCUCAGGUCAGGGCAUGCCCUGUGUCAGCGCCUCAGACCCCAGCUUUUACUGUGCCCAGGGUGAUGGGGGGUUAGCGGGCCACUGUGGUCUGCUGUGGGCUUUUUAAAGGCCAAAUAUGGCAGGUAAACUCCCUGGAGGAUGUAAGAGAACAUUCAAAUGUUUGAGACGAAAUGGUUUUAGUCUAAGCCAUUUUCACGAGGUUGGGGAGUUAAUACAACCUAGUCGGCCUUAGAGAUUUUCCCUAAACACUGUCAGCCUCCAGGAGGAACAAAUUCUGCAGGAACAGAACAUGCCCUUUGUCACCCACAUCUCAUCCCACCUCACCCUUCCUCCAGGUUUCUUACAUCGCAGCCGGGAUCCAGGGUACGUUAAACUGAGUGGGGAGCCCCCUGGCAGACGUACGCUGAGCAGCAGGGCCGGGGCCAGGCCCAGGGCCUUCCAAGCUCAGGCCCCACG
This 1057-nucleotide long non-coding RNA is filed under the name Pan troglodytes (chimpanzee). Its description in RNAcentral is "long non-coding RNA NONPTRT002410". Lineage: Eukaryota; Metazoa; Chordata; Mammalia; Primates; Hominidae. The record is from RNAcentral.